CCCUUGCUGGUCUGGUGGCUAGGAUUCCUGGUUUUCAUCCAGGCUAUCCAGGUUCAAUUCCUGGGCAAGGAA
RNAcentral lists this transfer RNA (72 nucleotides) under Bos taurus (domestic cattle). It matches the Rfam family "tRNA". From Rfam's summary of the family: Transfer RNA (tRNA) molecules are approximately 80 nucleotides in length. The record is from Rfam by way of RNAcentral. RNAcentral also lists the same sequence under 3 other names. Lineage: Eukaryota; Metazoa; Chordata; Mammalia; Artiodactyla; Bovidae.